RNAcentral lists this transfer-messenger RNA (384 nucleotides) under Metamycoplasma salivarium. RNAcentral describes it as "Standard tmRNA". It matches the Rfam family "transfer-messenger RNA". Rfam says of the family: Bacterial tmRNA, also known as 10Sa RNA or SsrA, is named for its dual tRNA and mRNA-like properties. Lineage: Bacteria; Bacillati; Mycoplasmatota; Mycoplasmoidales; Metamycoplasmataceae. The record is from RNAcentral.
GGGGAUGUAAUGGCUUCGACACGCAUUCGAUUCAUUAUGUUGCAGUGGUUUGCAAACCAUAAGGCACUAGGCUUUUUUAAACGCAAAAGACCAAAAAACAGAAGAUCAAGCAGUUGAUCUAGCAUUUAUGAAUAAUUCACAAAUGCAAUCAAAUCUAGUUUUCGCUUAGUAAAAUUAGUCAAUUUAUUAUGGUGCUCAACAUAAUAAAUGGUAGUAUGAGCUUAAUAUCAUAUGAUUUUAGUUAAUAUGAUAGGAUUUGUAACUAAACUAUGUUAUAGAAAUUUGUAAAUUAUAUAUAUGACAUAGGAAAUUUAAUUUACUAAACUGUAGAUGCAUAAUGUUGAAGAUGUGUGGACCGGGGUUCAACUCCCCGCAUCUCCACCA